RNAcentral lists this ribosomal RNA (253 nucleotides) under uncultured bacterium. RNAcentral describes it as "partial 16S ribosomal RNA". It matches the Rfam family "Bacterial small subunit ribosomal RNA", at positions 524 to 776 of the family's 1533-position model. The record is from RNAcentral.
UACGUAGGGUGCGAGCGUUGUCCGGAAUUACUGGGCGUAAAGAGCUCGUAGGUGGUUUGCCGCGUUGUUCGUGAAAACUCACAGCUCAACUGUGGGCGUGCGGGCGAUACGGGCAGACUGGAGUACUGCAGGGGAGACUGGAAUUCCUGGUGUAGCGGUGGAAUGCGCAGAUAUCAGGAGGAACACCGGUGGCGAAGGCGGGUCUCUGGGCCGAUACUGACGCUGAGGAGCGAAAGCGUGGGGAGCGAACAGG